Molecule: ribosomal RNA, 253 nt
Filed under: uncultured bacterium
Lineage: Bacteria
Description: partial 16S ribosomal RNA
Rfam family: Bacterial small subunit ribosomal RNA
Source: RNAcentral
UACGGGGGGGGCAAGCGUUGUUCGGAAUUACUGGGCGUAAAGCGCGUGUAGGCUGCUCCGCAAGUCGGAUGUGAAAGCCCUGGGCUCAACCUAGGAAGUGCAUUCGAUACUGCAGAGCUUGAGUCCUGGAGAGGAAGGCGGAAUUCUCGGUGUAGAGGUGAAAUUCGUAGAUAUCGAGAGGAACACCGGUGGCGAAGGCGGCCUUCUGGACAGUGACUGACGCUGAGACGCGAAAGCGUGGGGAGCAAACAGG